This 225-nucleotide ribosomal RNA is filed under the name uncultured bacterium. RNAcentral describes it as "partial 16S ribosomal RNA". It matches the Rfam family "Bacterial small subunit ribosomal RNA", at positions 524 to 748 of the family's 1533-position model. The record is from RNAcentral.
UACGGGGGGGGCAAGCGUUGUUCGGAAUUACUGGGCGUAAAGGGCUCGUAGGCGGCCAACUAAGUCAGACGUGAAAUCCCUCGGCUUAACCGGGGAACUGCGUCUGAUACUGGAUGGCUAGAGGUUGGGAGAGGGAUGCGGAAUUCCAGGUGUAGCGGUGAAAUGCGUAGAUAUCUGGAGGAACACCGGUGGCGAAGGCGGCAUCCUGGACCAAUUCUGACGCUG